RNAcentral lists this ribosomal RNA (495 nucleotides) under uncultured bacterium. RNAcentral describes it as "partial 16S ribosomal RNA". It matches the Rfam family "Bacterial small subunit ribosomal RNA", at positions 28 to 507 of the family's 1533-position model. The record is from RNAcentral.
GACGAACGCUGGCGGCGUGCCUAAUACAUGCAAGUAGAACGCUGAAGGAGGAGCUUGCUUCUCUGGAUGAGUUGCGAACGGGUGAGUAACGCGUAGGUAACCUGCCUGGUAGCGGGGGAUAACUAUUGGAAACGAUAGCUAAUACCGCAUAACAGUAGAUAUCGCAUGAUAUCUACUUGAAAGGUGCAAUUGCAUCACUACCAGAUGGACCUGCGUUGUAUUAGCUAGUUGGUGAGGUAACGGCUCACCAAGGCGACGAUACAUAGCCGACCUGAGAGGGUGAUCGGCCACACUGGGACUGAGACACGGCCCAGACUCCUACAGGAGGCAGCAGUAGGGAAUCUUCGGCAAUGGACGGAAGUCUGACCGAGCAACGCCGCGUGAGUGAAGAAGGUUUUCGGAUCGUAAAGCUCUGUUGUAAGAGAAGAACGAGUGUGAGAGUGGAAAGUUCACACUGUGACGGUAUCUUACCAGAAAGGGACGGCUAACUACGUG